Lipomyces starkeyi NRRL Y-11557 is the source of this 93-nucleotide transfer RNA. It matches the Rfam family "tRNA". Rfam says of the family: Transfer RNA (tRNA) molecules are approximately 80 nucleotides in length. The record is from Rfam. NCBI's taxonomy places the organism in Eukaryota, Fungi, Ascomycota, Lipomycetes, Lipomycetales, Lipomycetaceae.
GCGGGGUUAGCUCAGUUGGGAGAGCGUCAGACUGAAGCGUAAACUUUGGUUGUUGACAUCUGAAGGUCCUGUGUUCGAUCCACAGACAUCGCA